Molecule: ribosomal RNA, 375 nt
Filed under: uncultured eukaryote
Lineage: Eukaryota
Description: partial 18S ribosomal RNA
Rfam family: Eukaryotic small subunit ribosomal RNA
Source: RNAcentral
CAAUAGCGUAUAUUUAAGUUGUUGCAGUUAAAAAGCUCGUAGUUGGAUUUCGGUUAAGAGCGACCGGUCCGCCGUUUGGUGUGCACUGGUUGGUUUUAACUUCCUGUAGAGGACGUGCUCUGGGUCUAACGACCUGGACUCGGAGUCUACGUGGUUACUUUGAAAAAAUUAGAGUGUUCAAAGCGGGCUUACGCUUGAAUAUUUCAGCAUGGAAUAACACUAUAGGACUCCUGUCCUAUUUCGUUGGUCUCGGGACGGGAGUAAUGAUUAAGAGGAACAGUUGGGGGCAUUCGUAUUUCAUUGUCAGAGGUGAAAUUCUUGGAUUUAUGAAAGACGAACUUCUGCGAAAGCAUUUGCCAAGGAUGUUUUCAUUAA